UUAAACCCUCUCCUGCUUUGGUAUGCUGCAUUUGUGCGGCCUGCCGGAGCAGGCAGGAGUCUGGACCAUUUGUAAACUCCUGCAAUGGUCUGUAAUUGAUUGUAUGUACUGCAAUCGCUAUUUUGAUUGUCAAUGAAACAGCAACAGAUUUAUCUAAUACUGUUUAAUUGCAAUCAAGAUUGAUUUCAGGAUGUCAUCCAAUAACCACACAGAAAGUACGACUCUGUCGUGCUCUCUGUCA
This 241-nucleotide unclassified non-coding RNA is filed under the name uncultured Chytridiomycota. RNAcentral describes it as "sequence contains ITS2". The record is from RNAcentral. Lineage: Eukaryota; Fungi; Chytridiomycota.